RNAcentral lists this ribosomal RNA (519 nucleotides) under uncultured eukaryote. Its description in RNAcentral is "SSU rRNA". It matches the Rfam family "Eukaryotic small subunit ribosomal RNA", at positions 1161 to 1697 of the family's 1831-position model. The record is from RNAcentral.
AGGGCACCACCAGGAGUGGAGCCUGCGGCUUAAUUUGACUCAACACGGGGAAGCUCACCCGGCCCGGACACUGGAAGGAUUGACAGAUUGAGAGCUCUUUCUUGAUUCAGUGGGUGGUGGUGCAUGGCCGUUCUUAGUUGGUGGAGUGAUUUGUCUGGUUAAUUCCGAUAACGAACGAGACUCUAGCCUACUAAAUAGACCUCGGCAUUCUUUGUACUGUCGAGGCGCUUCUUAGAGGGACAGGCGGCGUUUCAGCCGCAUGAGAAAGAGCAAUAACAGGUCUAUGAUGCCCUUAGAUGUCCGGGGCCGCACGCGCGCUACACUGAAGAGAUCAGCGUGCAUGUGCUUCCUACUCCGAAAGGAGCGGGAAACCGAGUGAACCUUUUUCGUGCUUGGGAUUGGGGAUUGUAAUUAUUCUCCAUGAACGAGGAAUUCCCAGUAAGCACAAGUCAUCAGCUUGUGUUGAUUACGUCCCUGCCCUUUGUACACACCGCCCGUCGCUACUACCGAUUGGAUGUU